RNAcentral lists this ribosomal RNA (252 nucleotides) under uncultured bacterium. Its description in RNAcentral is "partial 16S ribosomal RNA". It matches the Rfam family "Bacterial small subunit ribosomal RNA", at positions 524 to 776 of the family's 1533-position model. The record is from RNAcentral.
UACGUAGGGUGCGAGCGUUAAUCGGAAUUACUGGGCGUAAAGGGUGCGCAGGCGGCGUCGCAAGUCAGGCGUGAAAUCCCCGGGCUUAACCUGGGAACUGCACUUGAAACUACGAUGCUGGAGUAUGGCAGAGGGAGGUGGAAUUCCACGUGUAGCGGUGAAAUGCGUAGAGAUGUGGAGGAACACCGAUGGCGAAGGCAGCCUCCUGGGCCAAUACUGACGCUCAUGCACGAAAGCGUGGGAGCAAGCAGG